AUACUGUAAAUUCUUCAAAAUGUGAAGUGGAAAAUAUAAUAAUGAUUCUACAAGGUUAUUUUGAAGAUAAGGAAGGGGAGCCAAUGAUACAACAUCCACAGAGCAAUACUUGGCAUAAGGUUGUUGAAAUAAGCAAAUAUGUUUGCACUGAAGAAUUUAAGAAAUGGCACCCUUAACUGGGGCUUCCCAGAAAUCACAGUGUUGCCAAUGAGCAUGUAGGAUCCUCAUGUAGCACAUUUCUCUUCAUUUGAGUAAAUGCAUCUUCUGAUAUAUGUACUUACUAUAGAAAAUUGAAACAAGAUUCACAAAGACUUAUGGCAAGAGUAGCCACAUUAAAUAUUUAAGGGUACAGGAAAAUAAUGUAACAAUGUAACACAGUUUUGGGAGCUCAGAGAAUUCACUCAGGACAUAAGGCAGUCGAAUUUCUUUUUAUGCUCUGUCCAACAAAAAUAUUAUAUGCCAUAUUCAAAACACGUACAACCAGAUUUACACCACUGAAAAUCAUGGUAUCCAGUGUAAGACAUACAGACUUGAAGAAAUUGAAACUGAGUUACUCACUGGAAGCCAGAAAGAAAGAGAGAAACUAAUCCCAAAUAAAUAGUACAAAUUUUAUCUUA
Pan troglodytes (chimpanzee) is the source of this 617-nucleotide long non-coding RNA. RefSeq lists it as uncharacterized. The transcript has 5 exons. The record is from RefSeq and is a predicted model, not a curated record. NCBI's taxonomy places the organism in Eukaryota, Metazoa, Chordata, Mammalia, Primates, Hominidae.